RNAcentral lists this ribosomal RNA (465 nucleotides) under Vreelandella stevensii. RNAcentral describes it as "partial 16S ribosomal RNA". It matches the Rfam family "Bacterial small subunit ribosomal RNA", at positions 338 to 795 of the family's 1533-position model. Lineage: Bacteria; Pseudomonadati; Pseudomonadota; Gammaproteobacteria; Oceanospirillales; Halomonadaceae. The record is from RNAcentral.
CCUACGGGCGGCAGCAGUGGGGAAUAUUGGACAAUGGGGGCAACCCUGAUCCAGCCAUGCCGCGUGUGUGAAGAAGGCCCUCGGGUUGUAAAGCACUUUCAGUGAGGAAGAACGCCUGGUGGUUAAUACCCAUCAGGAAAGACAUCACUCACAGAAGAAGCACCGGCUAACUCCGUGCCAGCAGCCGCGGUAAUACGGAGGGUGCGAGCGUUAAUCGGAAUUACUGGGCGUAAAGCGCGCGUAGGUGGCUUGAUAAGCCGGUUGUGAAAGCCCCGGGCUCAACCUGGGAACGGCAUCCGGAACUGUCAAGCUAGAGUGCAGGAGAGGAAGGUAGAAUUCCCGGUGUAGCGGUGAAAUGCGUAGAGAUCGGGAGGAAUACCGGUGGCGAAGGCGGCCUUCUGGACUGACACUGACACUGAGGUGCGAAAGCGUGGGUAGCAAACAGGAUUAGAUACCCCGGUAGUC